Neogale vison (American mink) is the source of this 340-nucleotide long non-coding RNA. RefSeq lists it as uncharacterized. The record is from RefSeq and is a predicted model, not a curated record. Lineage: Eukaryota; Metazoa; Chordata; Mammalia; Carnivora; Mustelidae. The transcript is spliced from 3 exons.
CAUAGUUCCUGCUUCCAAACGGAGAGACAGGGAAUUAUUAAGCCUGAUUAUCUCCAAAGCACCUGCCAGCUUGGACAUUCUAUGAAACAAGUGAGAUCACGAAAGACGUGAAGCAUGUUAGAGCUCUGCUGCUACAUUUAGUUGGUGUCCGGCAGUGAAGGUUUGCAUACGGGAUGGAGCAAAGGUCACAAAACACUCUGCUGCGGAGGUAAGCUGCGACCAUCUAGCCUUCUGGGAGUGUGCGAAGCCCCUAAACCACAAGGAUCCAGACUGGGAGCAAGAUGUUGUGUCUGAACACCCUCAAGACAGAGAACCAGAAUCUCUGCUGAGUUCCUGUCAC